GACGAACGCUGGCGGUGUGCUUAACACAUGCAAGUCGAACGGUAAGGCCCUUUCGGGGGUACACGAGUGGCGAACGGGUGAGUAACACGUGAGUAACCUGCCCUCAUCUCUGGGAUAACAGUCGGAAACGGUUGCUAAUACUGGAUAUGAGCUUGCAAGGCAUCUUGUGGGUUGGAAAGAUUUUUUUGGUUGGGGAUGGACUCGCGGCCUAUCAGCUUGUUGGUGAGGUAGUGGCUCACCAAGGCUUCGACGGGUAGCCGGCCUGAGAGGGCGACCGGCCACAUUGGGACUGAGAUACGGCCCAAACUCCUACGGGAGGCAGCAGUGGGGAAUAUUGCACAAUGGACGGAAGUCUGAUGCAGCAACGCCGCGUGCGGGAUGACGGCCUUCGGGUUGUAAACCGCUUUCAAUUGUGACGAAGCUUUUGUGACGGUAGCAGUAGAAGAAGCACCGGCUAACUACGUG
Molecule: ribosomal RNA, 465 nt
Filed under: uncultured bacterium
Lineage: Bacteria
Description: partial 16S ribosomal RNA
Rfam family: Bacterial small subunit ribosomal RNA
Source: RNAcentral